UUCUCCUACGGGGGGCAGCAGUGAGGAAUAUUGGUCAAUGGGCGCAAGCCUGAACCAGCCAAGUCGCGUGAGGGAAGACGGCCCUACGGGUUGUAAACCUCUUUUGCCGGGGAGCAAGCCUGAGCACGUGUGCCCAGGCGGAGAGUACCCGGAGAAAAAGCAUCGGCUAACUCCGUGCCAGCAGCCGCGGUAAUACGGAGGAUGCGAGCGUUAUCCGGAUUUAUUGGGUUUAAAGGGUGCGCAGGCGGGCUGUUAAGCCGGCGGUAAAAAUUUGGGGCUCAAACCCGGCGAGCGGGCGGAACUGG
Molecule: ribosomal RNA, 305 nt
Filed under: uncultured bacterium
Lineage: Bacteria
Description: bacterial SSU rRNA
Rfam family: Bacterial small subunit ribosomal RNA
Source: RNAcentral